AUCGAGAUCUCAGCUUCUUCAUAAGCUCCCACACGAAUUGCUUGAUUCACUGGUUAGACGAUUGGGUCUGUAGCUCAGUUGGUUAGAGCGCACCCCUGAUAAGGGUGAGGUCGGCAGUUCGAAUCUGCCCAGACCCACCAAUUGUUGGUGUGCUGCGUGAUCCGAUACGGGGCCAUAGCUCAGCUGGGAGAGCGCCUGCUUUGCACGCAGGAGGUCAGGAGUUCGAUCCUCCUUGGCUCCACCAUCUAAAACAAUCGUCGAAAGCUCAGAAAUGAAUGUUCGUAGAUGAACAUUGAUUUCUGGUCUUUGCACCAGAACUGUUCUUUAAAAAUUCGGGUAUGUGAUAGAAGUAAGACUGAAUGAUCUCUUUCACUGGUGAUCAUUCAAGUCAAGGUAAAAUUUGCGAGUUCAAGCGCGAAUUUUCGGCGAAUGUCGUCUUCACAGUAUAACCAGAUUGCUUGGGG
RNAcentral lists this transfer RNA (464 nucleotides) under Pseudomonas aeruginosa. RNAcentral describes it as "partial 16S-23S ribosomal RNA intergenic spacer". The stretch from base 64 to 137 matches the Rfam family "tRNA". The record is from RNAcentral. Lineage: Bacteria; Pseudomonadati; Pseudomonadota; Gammaproteobacteria; Pseudomonadales; Pseudomonadaceae.